This is a long non-coding RNA of Poecilia latipinna (sailfin molly), 101 nucleotides long. RefSeq lists it as uncharacterized. NCBI's taxonomy places the organism in Eukaryota, Metazoa, Chordata, Actinopteri, Cyprinodontiformes, Poeciliidae. The transcript has 4 exons. The record is from RefSeq and is a predicted model, not a curated record.
GCAGAGCUGUUAGUAGAAUCAGGACCGCACCCUGGAACUGAGGGGAAGCUGAGACUUCACGCCGCUAAGAAGGGACAAGAUCCAUCUGCCCCCAGCCCUGG